GUAGAGGUUUGCUGCUCUUUGUGAUUUGUUGUGAAUAGUUAAGCCCCUGGGAGAGACUCGAAAUCAGGUGUACGGCAACGUACCUAGGGUUCGAAUCCCUAUCUCGCCA
Molecule: transfer RNA, 109 nt
Filed under: Geobacter sp. M18
Lineage: Bacteria; Pseudomonadati; Thermodesulfobacteriota; Desulfuromonadia; Geobacterales; Geobacteraceae
Description: tRNA-Ser (CGA) (tRNA-Ser-CGA-2-1)
Source: RNAcentral